GAGAGAGACAGGCCAUGGAAGGGAUCGGCAACACCUUGUGAUGACACUGAUAAACAACUGUUUAGCAGCUACACGAAGAUAAUGCUGGGCGAUGGAAACAUCGCAAGCUUCUGGAGAGACCGUUGGCUCAACGGGGAGGCCCCAAGUGAUAAGGCACCAGCCCUGUUCAAGCUCGCAAGAUUCAAAAAGAUAACUGUCAAGGAAGGACUGCGGGAUGGAAGAUGGAUGCAGGGGCUGCAAAGAAUGAACAACAUCGACCAGCUCACACAGUUCGUGCAACUAUGGGAGGAGGUGAACCAAAUUUCAUUGAGAUCGGAGGCAGAUGCUGAUGUCUGGAGCCUGUCUGCAAAUGGUUUGUACGCUGCGCGCUCAGCAUAUGCGGCGCAAUUCCUCGCAAGGAUUGAGAAGCCAGGGCUAGCCAGAGUCUGGCGAUGUAAAAUGGAAGGAAAAGUUAAGUUUUAUAUCUGGUUGCUACUUCAGAACAGAAACUGGACUGCGGAUCGACUUCAAGCUCGAGGAUGGCCCCACAACGAUAAGUGCAAAUUAUGUGACCAGGAGCCUGAAACUGCGGAUCACAUCGCAUUGUUGUGCUCUUACUCAAAAGAGGUUUGGUACCAGUUCCGACAACCAAAUGCUGCGUUGGGAGACAUUACUGCUACUGCCCAAUCCAUCGGGGAAUGCUGGGACAGACUAUGCACCACCAACCGGCCAAAAGAGACUGUAAACGAGGAGAUCACGCUGGCGGCAUACAUACUGUGCAACUUAUGGAAGGAGCGGAACAGAAGAAUCUUCGAGCUCAAGGAACUAUCGGCGUUUGCCCUUGCAGGCCUAAUUCAAGAGGACGUUAGAUGUUUCAAGGAAGCCGGGAGAAACAGGGUGUGA
Molecule: ribosomal RNA, 882 nt
Filed under: Triticum aestivum (bread wheat)
Lineage: Eukaryota; Viridiplantae; Streptophyta; Magnoliopsida; Poales; Poaceae
Description: partial small subunit ribosomal RNA
Source: RNAcentral